GGAGAAAGAGAGUGUGAAAAUAUAAAUCUCUUUUGUGUUUGUUUGACAAUUCGUGUGACAUAAGUAAUAAGAAGCUGAACCAGCAAAAAGUUAACCAAUUUAGACCAAAACUACACUGCGGUUUAUAUUAAAACCGUUAAUACAUAUUUAAUAUACCAGAUUAUUCUAUUUCAGUAAAGUCGAAAAGGAGAUUUUAUGACGCGACGACAGCGGAGCUAUUGCGAUCACCGUCACUCACUCUCGUCGACGUUUUGGUGGAUGCCAGGUGAUUUCAUAAGCAAGAGAAGUUGAAACAGCGGGCUUUCGUGCAUUACAAAUCAUCGGCUCGGGUUACUUGAAGAAUCAGAGAAGAACCGAAGCAGUAUGUCAUAAGCGCCUCUAUCUCAACAAUCUACCAUGACAUUAUCAUCCAAUAGAGAGAUCGUAAUUAAGGGAACCAAGAGUUACAGAAACUAGUCAACUUCUUUCUUACAUCAGGUAACAACAACAUAUCCACAUACUAUUAUUUUCAUAUCACUUCUUCUUCUACAGUAUCCUUAUUAUUAAAACUGUCCCAUCUUGAAUCCAGAUUCAUAAACAAUCUAACUGGAUCUACUUGCUUGCCCUUAGCUGGACCAAGUAUCUUGACAAACCACUUCGGCUUGAAUGAAGCAAUAACGUGUGCCAUUACCAAUCCAAGUAACAGUCCAGGCCAAUACCCGAAAAACACUGCUUUCCACUCAAUCACUUCGUCCUCUUCUUCUUCUUCGUCUUCUUCCUUGGGAUAUUUUGUUGGUGGCGCAACGCAACUUCCUUGGAGAGGAAGACCACAGAGACCUACAUUCCCUUCAAAUGAUGAUUCAGCUUGCCCACUAAACUGUGGUCCCUGUGGUCUAGUGACUCGAGCUCCGUAACAUUUGCCAAAGACAUAGGAAUAUGGCCAGUGAAGGCGUUGUUCGAUAAGUUGAGCGCUAUCAAUUCCUUCAACAGACCAAUAGACUCAGGAAUCUGUCCUUCAAGUUUGUUUCCAGAGAAAUCAAUGGUGCUGUAGAAACUCGGGAAACGCGAGAGGACCUCGAUCAGGAGGAGAGAGAUGGCCGAAGAAUCUGUUUGAACGGAGAGUCAAGACAUGCAAAUUGGGUAGCGCCUUCAGCCAGAAAGGAAACGUGUCUUCAAUUCUGUUGUUGUCAACACUCAGAAACCUCAGAGAGGAGCAAUUCAAAAGUGAUUUUGGAAGCUUCCCGGUUAGUCGAUUAUAGCCAACGUCAAGCGUCUGUGUCUUAGCACCGCUAUGGAACUCGUCAGGUAUACUUCCUUCCAAGCUGUUCUUCCUGAGGUUUACUACUUUUAAGUUACUCAGACAUUGAGGAAUUGGACCGGUGAAUUUGUUGUAGGAUAGAUCAAGGACGAUGAGAGAGCUUCGGUUGCAGAUUGAGAGAGGUAUGUUCCCUGUGAAACUAUUGUUCCACGCAGACAAGUAGAUCGAACCGAGUGGUGGAGUAGGAAACGCUCCUGUCAUGGAGUUAUAGGCAAAAUCUAGUAACUGCACUGAUGAGUUAAGUAAAACUUCUGAAGAACCUUCGAAACCAGUCAAAGAAUUGUUAACAAGAUUUGCUAUGCUAAGACGAGGAAGCUUCCAAAACCACUCAGGUACUUUCCCUUUGAUUAGAUUGUUGGAAAUGUCUAUAUGCUCCAAGUUUUGAAGGGUCUUAAAGAUGUUUGGAAACUCGAUAAUGUCGCACUGGAUCAAAAUCAAGCUUAUUAAGCUCAAUGGAAACUCUGAAUCUGAACUUAAACUGGCUGGUAAUAACCUAUUUUGACGAAUAUCAAAGACCAACAAAGAUUUGAGAGGAGCGAAGACGCGUAAGUCAAUUGGGUGACUUAUGUUUAGGGAAGCAAGUUCAAGAUGGUUGAGGUUUAUGAGCUUUGAGAUAGGCUCUAUGAUUUUUCCUUCAAAUUGGUUAAACCCAAGGGACAAACGAACUAGCUUAGAUGAAGAAGAAGAGUUUGGGACAUCAAUAGAACCAGUGAGAUGAUUCUUUUUCAGAUCAAGAUAAGACAAGAAAGGCAAAGUGGGUAGUAAAUCAAAAGGUAUGGCUCCUGAGAAUUGAUUGUAAGAAAGGUCUAAAAAGGAAAGCUUUGUUAGGUUUCUUACAGGUGGGAAACUACCAGUGAGCUCAUUAUGGGAAAGGUUUAAAUGGGUAAGCAAGAUAAGGUUACUAAUUGAGGAAGGAACUUGACCAGUAAAGCUACUAGAGGCAAGAGACAAAACCUCUAAUCUGGUGAGAUUGCUGAAUUCAGAAGGGAGUGAAGAGGAAGUGAAGUUGUUGUGAGAGAGAUUAAGGUAACGAAGCUGAUGCAACUCAAAGAGACUACUGUUUGGUUUGAGAGUUCCAGUGAAGCAACCACUUGGGAGCUGAAGCUUCGUGACCGCACCAGUCGUGUUAUCACACUGGACUCCGUUUAAGUAGUCACUGCGGUUGCAGCCGUCAGAUUCAAACUCAUUCUUGAAUUGGAUUAGAGCUUGGAUCUGGUCAGGAAGACAAGCAAGAGCGUCGGUCGUCAAGAAGCUUGAAACGAAGACGAUACAGUAGAGUAAGAGUAGCGAGCAAAAAUGCAAACGCAUGGUGUUUGUGAUUGAACCAACAAGUUGAGGAAAUUAUUGAACCCAAAAAAAGACAUAUCAAAGAUUUGCUAUAUAUAUGUUAUUUUAAGCCGCCUUUACUAAAUAUGUGGGGUUUAAAUGUCACGUGAAAUGUCUACGAGUCACAUUUGUUCAUGAAGUAAAUUCCACGUGGACAUCUCUGACUAUAUAACUG
Molecule: long non-coding RNA, 2798 nt
Filed under: Arabidopsis thaliana (thale cress)
Lineage: Eukaryota; Viridiplantae; Streptophyta; Magnoliopsida; Brassicales; Brassicaceae
Description: potential natural antisense gene, locus overlaps with AT2G33050 (AT2G33051)
Source: RNAcentral